Vigna unguiculata (cowpea) is the source of this 7588-nucleotide long non-coding RNA. RefSeq lists it as uncharacterized. NCBI's taxonomy places the organism in Eukaryota, Viridiplantae, Streptophyta, Magnoliopsida, Fabales, Fabaceae. The record is from RefSeq and is a predicted model, not a curated record.
AUAAAGGGUGUUCGACCCAGGCCGUUUACUUGUGAUAAGGGAGGGGAACUUAAGCGAUUAAAAAAAAUACAUAAGGGGUGUUCGACCCAGGCCGCUUAGUUAUGGUAAGGGUGGGGAACUUAAGCGAGUAAAAGAUGGAUAAAGAGUUGAGCGUGUGAUCAAGAACCCUUUGUUUUAUUCAAGAAUUUUGGGAUGCCUCAUUAAAAAUUGCCUGGCCAAAACCCUCCUUAGGGAAAGAUGCUAGGUGAGGAAAAAGAGUACGCCCAAGGUUACAAGUAUUCGGUACAGUAAGUAGUCUAAUUGAAGUAAAAUUUAAGAUGAGAUACAUUCCAUGUAUUCGGUAUCUCUUCGCCUAAUAAUUGUUCAAGUUUGUAAGCACCGCCUCCUCAAUCAUCACAUAUUUGGUACGGGCUAUCCCAAUUGGCGGAGAAUUUUCCAUCCUUCUUUCUUGCGCUGCUGGCCAUUCUCCAAACUAGGUCUCCCUUUGCGAAUGAUCGCGGACAUAAGUUCGUGUUAUAUUUUCCAACCGCUCUCCAAUUAGCUGGUUAGUUGACUUACACAUAAUUCAUAGCUGGUUAGUUGACUUACACAUAUUAUAGCACUUAAAAUUACAAAAAGAUACCUUCAAUCUCAACAAUCAAAUGAACCGAAUUAUAAACCCUAAUUAAGCCCUUAGUGGGCAGCCUAUCAUUAAACUUCAUCGGCGUCUCCACCACCUCCUUAUUUGCCACUGACAACUUCUUAAUCUUCAUGUCCUUAUAUCGCCAAGGGUUAUCGGUCAAACUAAGAAAGAACUUAGUACUCCCGUCAUAGUUAUAGAAAUAUGAUCUCCUAGCCUCUUUCACUACUGCUUUGAAGAAUCCAUCCUUGAAAUGUUUGAAUGACUGGGUGAACGCGUCCAGUCUGCUUAUACUUGGCUGACUCACCAAAGAUAACCAUGUCGUCAGCUGCCGUGGUCUUGUCAUAGAAAUACAAAAAUGCUUGCGGAGAAGGUUGCAUGUAUAACGAGCGGCUGAGAAUGCGAAAGGCUUGCAAGUACGCCUAACUAUUCGGAUGUAGCUGGGUAGGAGCAACAUUUUGUAGACGAAUUACCCCUAUGGUAAAGUCAUCAAACGGUAGCCUCACGUGCAAUUGUGAAAAAUGACACAUAUAUAUGUAGAAAAACUUAUCAGUCGCUCCCUCCUGGCCGUGGCAGACGCGUUCAAUAACAAUCACUCGCUCCAAAGACAUUAUAUCACGGCUUACAUCCCUCCCUACGACAGGAGUACAGUUAAGCUAUUAAUUAAGCAACCUUGACCAUCUAAAUAAUGAAUAUUGAUUCUGGACAUCUGUAGUGACCCAUUCAUAACCAGUUAGCUGACCAACUACACUCUACUAUCUCCUCUAGAAGGUCUUCCCUCACCUCAGUUACCGUUUCCAUCGGAAUCCUCCAUGUCCCAACCACAGGACUGUCAUUCCCCUCAUGAGAUUGUCUACCUACACCUUCCCUAGAUCACCCACUCCCAUUACUCGAUGUAGAUAAUGAAAUACUAUCGCUAGUAAUAGACAUAACUUUUUUAGUAAGUAAGAUGCCGGUAGGAACACAAAACUAAUCGGACAGCUCUAACGCACACAAAUCACUAAUCUCAGAUUUCUUACAAAUGAGCCAACAUGAACAAACUUUCAAUAGCAUCCUCAUUUAUAAACAUCAAUCUGAACCGCUACAAUUCCUUCCCGCCAAAAGUUAUAAGACACACGAAGUGUCACAACGCAUACGAAAAGUCACAAUACUUCAAACGACGGUGCAAAACCCUUAUGAUUAGACCACUAACAUCUACACCUUUUCACCUACCACCACCUAUUAGGACUUUAGCCUUAACACUGUUCAUCACACUUAAAGGCUGGGGAACUGGUGUACUGCACCUAGGCGGCCUAACAAAAAUGCUUACACUUCUCAUUCUUUGUCACUAUAGGUAUACCGACACAGGCUAGGGGACUGGUGUACUACACCUAGGCGGCCUAAUAUGACUAUAACAGUAAAAUCCACCUACAUAACCCCAGGGAUGCAAAUAGUAACCAAAUAAAUCAAGCGGACAAGAGUAAGCAGACAAGAGUAAGCGGCCUAAGCCGCCUACUUCAGAAGACGAAACGAGAACCUGACGACCCUUACAGACUUAAAGAAUUACUACCAAAGCCCCUAAGGCCCACAAUGAUUGAGCUAAGGGGCUUGGGCUAGGUCCAGGCCCACUUGUGGCCCAAAUAAGGGCCUAGCCUAUGACGUGGCCAGACAUAAUUAAUAAACUAUAAAUACGCGUGGACCCCAACAAUUAAAGGUAUGCAUUCAUUAAUCUCUUAAUCACGAGAUUUGACUUUUUGAGAAUCCUUUGCUGACUUGAGCGUCGGAGACUUGAGCGUCGGAGUCUUCUCCGCAGGUAACCCCUCUUUGGUACAGGCCAGUCCAAGCCGAGAUACCCGUAGUUAACAUAUGCAAGUAGGAGGAAGCCUACUAGAGAGAUUGUGGAUUGAGGUAAGGUGAUAUUUGUGUUUGACAUCUCUUAUUUGUUCUCCGCAGGAAUAAUAGUAUUGCAGAAGGAUAGGGUCUUUGAUUUCGAAUUCAUCGUUCAGAUGGCCUACUGUGAGCUUGGAAUUGGUUAGGAUAAGCCAACUAGGAUGGCUUCAUAUUCGGCUUGAUUGUUGGAGGUUUUAAAGGCGAAGUGGAGAGAUUUUUCGAUGAGGAUAUCGUUAGGGCCUUCUAAGACGAUAUCGGCUCCUGCACCCUUUGGAUUUGAAGAACCGUCUACACAAAGUGUCCAUUGGUCUUCUUCUAGGGUGUGUUGAAGGUCAUUGAUGAAGUCAAAAAGGCAUUGAGCUUUGAUGGGGCCGUGUGGUUCGUAACGAAUGUUGAACUCAGACAAUUCCACGGCUCAAGAUGACAUGCGACCAGCAAGGUCUAGCUUUUGGAGUAUUUUCUAAAUGGGAUAAUCGAUCUUGACGAUGAUGUUGUGGUUUUGGAAGUAGGGGCGUAGGCGUCGUGCUGCAUGCACUAAGGAUAGUGCUAGCUUUUCCACCAUUUGUAGUUUCUGGGUCUUACAAGGUUCGGCUAACAAAGUAUACGGGGCGUUGAGUACCAAUGAUGUCCUGAACUAGCGCGACACUUACAGUGUGAUUUGUUGCGGUAAUGUAGACGAGGAGGGGUUGGUGGAGGUCCGGCUUAUGGAGGAUAGGUGGAGUUGUAAAGGAGGUUUUGAGGUUUUGGAAGACUUGCUCACAUUCGUCGUUUAAAGAGAACUUGGCAGAUUUCUUGAGUAGUUGGAUGAUGGGUUGGGUUUGCUCGGCUAAUUUGGGUAGGAAGUGGGAGAUGGCGGUUAAGCGGCCAAUGAGGCAUUGUACUUCUUUGAUAAUGUUGGGGCUUCGCAUAUCGAUUAUGGCAUUACACUUUUUGGGGUUUGCUUCGAUGUCGCGUUAUGUUAGCAUGAAGCCAAGGAAUUUCCCACGAUCGACGCCGAAAAUGCACUUUUCAGGGUUGAGUCUGAGGUUGUACUAUCGUAAUGCGGAAAAUACUAUGGAUAAGUCCUGCGCAUGCUGGUGGUGGCUUGGGGAUUUGACAACCAUGUCGUCGACAUACACUUCGGCACACUUGCCCAUUAUGUGGCUGAAGACUUUGUCUAUCAAUCGUUGAUAAGUUGCUCCUGCGUUUUUUAGGCCGAAAGGCAUGACCUUGUAAAAGUAGUUGGGAUCGUCAGUGAUGAAAGCGGUCUUUUUCAUGUCGGUUGUGGCCUUUGGGAUCUGCUUGUAUCCGGAGUAUGCGUCCAAAAAACUAAGGACCUUGUUACCGACUGCACUGUCAACUAGCCGAUCAAUGUUGGGUAGGGGAUAAGCGUCUCUAGGCAGGCCUUAUUGAGAUCCGUAUAGUCAACACACAUGCGCCAUUUGCCAUUUACUUUUUUUACCAGAACCACAUUGGAUAGCCAGGUGGUGCAGUGGGCUUCCUUGAUGAAGCAUGCGUUAAGUAACUUGUCGACUUCUACUUUUGCUGCCAAUCGACGUUCUUCACCGAGUUUCCGCUUCUUUUGGGAGACAUAUCUGGCUUCCUUAUAGAUAGACAACUUGUGGACUACGACUUGAGGGUCGACGCUGGGUAAGUCUGUGGCUGACCAGGCAAAUAGGUCGGUGUUGUUGAUGAGGGUGGGUGUCAGGAUAUCACGCUGUUCUUGUUGGAGGCCGGUGCCUAGCUUGAGGGUUCGGCCAUUAGAGAGUUCCAUGGGUACAAUGUCAUCAACUGGUUCGAGACGUGCGUCGCGUCCUAGCCUGGGAUCCAAGUCAUUACCUGACAAGGCUAUGUCAGAGUCGGGUGGGCGUUCAAUGUUGUUUGUUCAGGAUUGGUAAUUAGGGACGUAGGCUAUCCAUGUAGCAUUCUCGUGCGAGUCGUUGGUCGUCGUGGAUGGUAAGGAUGUGACCAAACGGAAAGGGGAAUUUUAUGGCAAGGUGAAGUGUAGAGAUGAUAGCGCCUAAAGUGUUGAGGGAUGGUUGGCCGAGGAGGACAUUGUAUGAUGUGGGCGUGUCGACAAUAAGGAAGCAGAUGCAAAUUGUUUUGGAUUGAAUGCCAUUGCGAAAAAUAGUUUGAAGGUCUAUGUACCCACGACUGGAAAGCUUCUCCCAAGAGAAACCGUAUAUAGGUUCGUGAUAGGGGAUCAUGGCAUUGGUGGGAAGCUGGAGUUUUUGGUAUGUUGUCCAGUAUAGAAUGUCAACCGAGCUGCCCUGGUCGAUGAGGACCUUUUUUACCACGUAGUUCUCAAGUUUGAAAGUGACGACCAUGGGAUCGUCCUGCUGGUGGUCGACGCCAUGGAAAUCAUCAUCGGUAAAGGUAAUGAGGGGCAUGCGACAUCUGUGGUGAGAGUGGGUUAUGUGGUUAAUAGACUGGAGUUGGCGAAGAUGUUUCUUUCUAAGUGAGGAGGUGGAUCCACCGCUAGCAAAGGCUUUAGAGAUGGUGUUAAUUGUGCCACGUAGUUGGGGAUUAAACAGGGUGAUGUCAGUACGGGGAGGUUGUGGGUCUUGGCUGGUUGGGUGGGUGGGGCGUCAGUCGUGGUAAGUACUGCGGGGGGGAUAUCUGUGAUCGGAUCAUGAUGGAUGUGGGCGUUCGUCUCUACGGAUAAAGCGGCGGAAAUGGCCUACGCGAACCGAUUCUUCUAUUUUAUCUUAGAGUGCUUUGCACUCAUUUGUGGUAUGGCCAUUGUUUUUGUGGUAACGACAGUACUUGGUCAUGUCUGCGUUGGGAGGGUUAGAUGUUUUCCGAGGUGGUGGGAUGAGGUCGGCAUGGAGGGCUUCGUCAAGAAGGCGGGAUCUAGGACACUUAGCGACGCGUAUCUGGUGAAACGUGGUUGUCUGGGUUCUCUAGGUUUGGAGUCAGGCCAUGGGGGUGGUUUAUCAGGGGUUGUAGUUGAGGGGGUGUAAUCAUUGUAGAACUUGGUGUGAAGGGUCUGCAUCUCUUCCAUGUGGAUAUAGUCCGCGACACGUAGCUUAAGUUAAUGCAUAGAUGCGGGUGGGUGGAGGUAGACGUUAUUUGCGAACUGUUCAGGUUUGAGGGUGAGGGCCAUAAACUGUAGUAUCAUUUCUUGGUUGAGAUGGGGUUUGCAGAGGUUAGCCUUACUAAAGCGACCGAUGAAAGCCCGCAGCGUCUCGUCUUGUUCUUGUCUGACACCGAGGAGGGAGAGAGUGGUGGUUUGAUGUAGGCGGCUGCCAGCGAAAUGGGUAGUAAACAUGUGGGAGAGUGUGUCAAAACAGUCAAUGGAGUAUGGCGGGAGGGUAGUGAACCAUUCAAGGGCGGGACCUUUGAAAGUGGUGGGAAAAGCUUUGCAGAAGAUGGCAUCGUGGGAUGUAUAGAGGGCGACAUUGGUUAUGUAUAUUUUCAGGUGUGCGUCAAGGUUGGUUUCUCCCGUAUAACGAGUCAGUGUGAAGGGUUCCCAUUAGGCAAGGAGAGGGGUGUUGGUGAUGGCAUCAGUCAAAGGGUGGCGACGCCUGGGUGGUUGGGGUGGUAAUGGGUGUGGCAGAAUUGGGUGGUGGACGAGGGUAGGGAAAGUAGUGGUGAAGUUGUGAGGCGGUAUAUGAGUAGUAGAAAAUGUGGUUGCGGGGGUAGGUGUUGCGGUGUGUUUGGGGAGGGUGGAGAUGAUGGGUGUCUGCUAAGUGGUGGUGAAGGUGUGCGGGGUAGGGUUGUACUUGUUUUCUUCCUCAUUGGACUGGUAAGCCGGAGACUUGGGAGACUCUGACGCUUCCCUGGCUUUCCCCUUCUAGGUGGGGUCAGCCUCAAUCUUCCUCCUCAGCCGUGAGUUUUAUUGCCUGAGUGCCUCCAUCUCAUCAGCACUACGCUUUCUCAGAUCAAUGAGCUCUUGUUGCAUCUUAACUUGGCCUUCAAGGAUAGUGGCCAAGUCCGGGGUGGUGCUGGCAGGCGCUGUGGGACCUGCUUCCGGUUGCUUCGUGACUUCAGCUCUGUUACGAGUAGAAACCAUCGUCGAUAGUGUGUGCAUUGAUAUGUAAGGUUUUAUAUUUUGCCCCACGGUGGGCGCCAAUUGUUCUUACGGAGAAUAAAUAAGAGAAGUCAGACACAAACAUCACCUUACCUCAAUCCGCAAUCUCUCUAGUUGGCUUCUCCUUGGCUCACGCAUGUCAUCUGCUGGUAUCACGGCUUUGACCAAUGAGGGGUUACCUGUGGAUAGGACUCCGAUGAUCAAGUCAGCCAAAAGAUUCUCAGAAAGUCAAAUCUCGUGAUUAAAGGAUUAAUGAAUGCGUACCUUUAAUUACUGUGGUCCGUGCGUAUUUAUAGUUUAUUAAUUAUGUUUGAACUUGUCAUGGGCUGGGCUAUUGUUCGUCCUAGGGGUUUUGUCUUAAUAUUCUAAGUAUGGAAUGGUCGACAGAUGUUGUCUUGUCCCCUGAAAUAGGCGGCCUAAGCCGCUUAUGGUUGUCUGUUGAUUUAUUUGAUAACUGUUUGCAUGCUCGCGGGGUCUUAUGUAGGCGGGUUAUACCGUAUAGUUGUGUUAGGUCGCCUAGGUGCAGUAAAAGUUCCAUUGUUGAAUAUGUAUUUGAAUCAAGAUAGCCCCUCUCAAAUGAAAGAUGGCCUUCCCUCCCUACAGAAUAAAUUAAGUUUUUGGAGAAUAUUCUUGAGAGUCAAAAAAAUGUCAAUCAUGACUAGCAAGACUGUAAUGAUUAUGUCACCAACUGAUCUAUAGGUUUUGGUUUUCAUUUUAAAGGGUACUGGAGCAUAUUAUUUGUUAUUGGACAAUUGGUUUCGUGUUUCUAUUUUUCUGAUGGUUAUGCUGGAGUUAAGUUUCAGGAGUCCAUGGUGUGUUUCUUAAGCUCCCCCAAUAUUUUUAAUAUUUCAUAAACAAUCGUGGAUCCAAAGAAAGGGAAUGUCGGAAUGAUUGCAUAGGGUUUUCCAUUUUUCAAUGUAGUAUGUUAUAGUUUGUUUUGUUACGGAGUUUUGAUUGUUCUGUGUCAGAAUAUUGUGUUUGCGGGUUUUGUAAUACUUUGGGUAACAUGUAAGUUGUUGAGAUGCUUAUGUAUAUGUUGAACACCAAGCAAAUUUUAGUAUAUUUUUUAAUGCUUUAGUAUUGUUGUA